ACUGAUUUUGAUUUGUUGGUAGGUGCACUCAUUGCGACAGUCUCCUUCACUGCAGGAAUUACAGUACCUGGAGGUUGCACAAGCGAUGGACCAUACAAAGGGACUGCGAUAUUAGCUAAGAAAGUUUCUAUUAAAAUUUUUUCGAUAUCAAAUACCAUUGCGUUAUUGCUCUCUCUUUAUGCUGUCUUUAGCCAUUUCUGCGUGAAACGUUUACGCAAGAAAGAGGAUAUCAUUUACCAACUUACUGUGGCAACAUAUUGCUCAUUUGGUGCUAUAUUUGCAAUGGUGGUUGCAUUUAUAACAGGUUCAUAUGUAGUACUGGCUGUUACAGAAGAAUUUUCUAUUACUAUAUGUGUACUUUGUUGUUGUUUCUUCAUUUUUGCAUUUCGCGCUCUGUGGAGGAUGCUAAUGCAAGACAGAUCUUCACUCUUUCGUGCUUAGAAACGCUUGGAUGUAACAGUGCCUAUUUUGUUAUUGUUGUCAAUUUAUGAAUUUUCUAAUGGAGAAGAACUUCCCAUCUUUCGUUAUCUACAAAGUACAAACCAAGACUUCCUACAAUACAAUAUACGUAUGAUAUCAUUGAACUUUUUUCAAUGGAUCUGAUAGGUCUGAAUAACACAAACACGGGUGUGCAACAAAGAUUAAAAUCUGCUCAUAUAAUCGCAUUGCCAUGCCCUCCCUCUCUCAAACAGAAUUCAGAAUCACUAAAGACGCAGACAGUAAGCUGCAGACCAUUUGAAUGCAUUGAAGUUAUCUAUACGUACCUUCUGAUAGAUAAUUUACAUAUUUUAUCAUUUGUAUAUGUUAUUGAGGUAUUUAUGUUUGGAAUUUUGCUUAUUGUUAUAACUAUUUAUUGUAUUGCUGUUGUCUGUUAUCAAGAAAAAUAUAUGUACUGUUAUCUAGCCGACGGAUUUGUUUGAUUUCUGAGAAAAUUGUAGUACGAGACGCUCUAGAAGCAUUUUGAGUUAGAUGAAUAAGUAUCUUUAUUAGUGUGAUUUUUGUUGCAAUUAGGGUUUUUUUUUUUUUUUUUUUUUUUCGGGUGAACCAAUUCGAUGUUGAUAUUAGAUCCCAGGUGUUGGAGAUUUUGAGUAGAGAAAUGUGAGAAACAUGUUUCAAACCUUUUUCCCUUCAAUUGGAGAGAAGAAAUAGAAGGCUUAGUUAGUGACUUGUAUGGAUUUCCUUUCUAGGAUGACUUCUUUGUUCAUUUCCCCUGUUAAAAUGAUAAAAAUCUGACCUAGAGACACAAACAAUGCUGACAUGAUGAAUGGAUUGUUUCGAGUCCUUUUUCAUUGCCCUUCUAGCAGGGAGGGAAUGACAGUUCAAUGUGUGGUGUCUAUGUAGCUAGAUACUGCUGAGUUGUAGCAAAUGUAGCCUAUGUUAUGCAGCCCUUUACUGAGGAGUGACCUUUCGAGGUAUAGCAUAUAAAGAAAACACCCAAUAGUUUUCCAAUUGAUCAUAAGCCCUUUUAUGUUGAUGCAUUCUUUCGCGACUCGUGAGCACUUGGAUCUACUCGCUCCUGAGUCCUGACAUCCCUUUGUAUUUUCAGAUGCAGAAAUGUCGUGGAUAGUAAAUGUGUGGAUCAUUGAGUUCCUUUGGGAGUGGGGGCAGACAAUUGGUGGAGGGAUGUUGGUAUUGGCGUGUAUCAGAAAUUUGGAUCUUAGGUGCAAAUGAUUUAUCUGAUAGGGAGGCGAUUUGCUAAACCUUGACACAGAGAUGUGGUUCUAACUAGUUUUCUUUGGUAUAUGGAGUUCGCAUCAAAUUUUCAGAUAAUGUACUGAAAUCAUUAAAUUCUUUUAACCCUAUAUGUUUUUUUUUCGAUCGGGUGCCUGGUGUUUGUAUUUUCUCAGCUAGUUCAGUUGAUAUCUUUGACUUGUCCCUUUUGAUUCAUUUUAAAUUGUUUUGCUAAGAUUAAAUACCUAGUCACAGUUACUGUUAGGGUUUACGACAUAUUAUUCACGACGUGGCUAAUUAUAUAUGGACUGUUUAAUUGCUUCGUAAGACUUGUUUCCUCUUUUGAUUGAAGGCGGAUGCCUUCAAAUCCAAUUGGGGUGCGGUCUCCUGCAACUGCGACUUGUGUUUCAGAGAUUACUGAUGCAUGCCCUUCAUAUCAGGAAUGACUGUAUUUUCUUUUCCUUCAGUUAAUAUGUUCCAUGUGUAUCUGUUAUGUGUGAAUUUUAGUGUAUCUGAGUGUACCUACCUGUCAUACAAAUUAGGAAAGCACUUGAAAGUACAGCGUUGGACCGCAAUGGCACAAUUCUACCACUCUCCCGUCAGUGAGUAUGAUAACAAGUUUGAAGUGAUGGGAGGUUUCAUACUUAGAUUUCAUCAUUUUCUCCGAGAUUUAGUAGCCAUCUGCUUAGUCUUGGCAGCCAUUACAUGGGAGAAGACAUAGACUAUUUUUGUACCAUGAUAUGAUUUGAUCAGCUAGUUUGCAAUGGACGGCUUUAUCUAGAUACCAGAAAUUGUGUGGGCAAUUCACCAGACAUUUCCAUUGUAUUAAUCUAGCCGUGAUUCACAGAGAAAUUUGUACUCUGGAUUGGUGCAGGGUUGACAUGUUCAAAGAGGAAUCUUUUUGCUUUGAUUAUCAGGGGAGGUCUUAGAGGUUAAAAAUUAUUAGUUUUCUUUCGACAGGAUAGACUGGUUUGUUCUCUGGAUUAGAACAGUUCUCGACAGCAUUUUACACUGACAACUAGUUUCUUUGCUUCCAGCUCUGUACCUAACUUGUCUGCACAUUUGUUAGAAAUUAGACAUUUUGUUUUUCCAUCUGAGCCAGGAAAAUCAAUAUUCUUUUGCAAACGUUAUUGUCACCCCAACCAGGAACUAAAGGCCAACAUCUACGUUUUGUUCUAUAAUUUUCCCAUGUAUUUUAUUUUCAGUCUAUGUGUAUCUGUGUCUUUUGGGCUUAUGUCUCGCCGAUGGAGUGGGGUUGAUGCAGGUAGAAUUUACAAGUGAAAAUACCGUCAGUUGAAAUAGGUAGAAUCAUAAGAUUGAACACUUCAUUGUCGAUUAGGAGGAGAGAUUGAUAGAUGGUGAUUGAUGGAAGUAUGAAACAUCUCAGACUAAGCUACCUAACCUUUUCCAUAGAGAAUUUGAACUUUUGAAAAUAGGCUAGAGACAGAAACAAAGCAGGCAUUGGAAAUACAGUAUAUACAUCUGUUUUCAAGUUGGAUGUCAACAAUUAGCAUGUCUUGUCAGAUAAUUCAUGUCCAACACAAGUUUUUUAACUUUGGUGAACCCCUUCAUCAGUACCAUGUCAACCAGAGAGAAAAUAUAUGGAAUGGAAGUUUAACUAACUGCGUGAGGGAGCUAUGACAACAUACUGUUGUGUUGAAGGCGGACAUGGCCUAACAUCUGUGAACCAUAUGAAAGAACACCUUGCCAACCUAUUUUGAAGUGAAGUACAUGAACUUCCACUGGUAGACAAAACAGGAUGCAGGUCUGUUUAGCACUUUAGCAUUUCUAUGGAAUAAUAACAAUAAAAAGUUUCCUCACCUAAUUUGUUUGUGAUUUUCUCAUCUUCCAAAUAUACCCAUAAAUAAUUCUCAGUCUCGAAUGUUUUUGGUUAUUUCAUUGGAAAACUAUGAGCUGUGUUUGAUUUGCAGGUUUUAGAACCGACGUUGUUCCACAUGGCAAGAUUGGUGCGAAAGAUGACCUUGAAUCUCUUUGGACCAAAGUUGCACUGUCCAUGUCAAUUUUAGGUCACUUCUAUUAAACAAAACUAAAUCGAAAAAAAUAAAAUAAAAAAAUAGGUUGAUUUUAGUUUUGUUUAAUAAAAAUGACAUUGGCACCAUGUAACUUUCGACCAAUGAGAUUCAAGGUCAGCGUCCGCAUGAAUCAUGCCGUGUCGAACAAAGAAGUCAGACUGGAUUCCUUUAGCAACGGCCAACUAGCCUGAAAAGUACACGAAAAUUAUAGUGCCUAUAUGCCAGCAUAAGUAUUGAUUUUACUCACCAUUCAAGCCGUUUGUCCUUGUUGAAGUCUUUUUAGUUAUACUCUUGUAUAAUAAAGACCUUACCAAAACAAAUGAAUCCAAUCUCUGCAGCAAAGAAUGCCGACGUGAACUUUUUUAGGCAAGUUGAAUUAGAUGUUCUCCAUGACUUCAGAGAUGAAAAUGGUCGUUCAGCUUUUUCCAUUGCAACUAUUGAAGGUUAUUUGACUUCAUCAAAAGAAAAAAAAGAAAGUUAUUUAAAGUGUCGUGAAGAGAUCUUGAAGAGAUGGCCUUCAUUGAUAUAUCAAAGCAACAAAUCUGGUGCCACUCCACUGCAUGAGGCAGCAUACAACGAUGACCAUGCAACCAUUAAGUUGCUUAUUAGUACUGCUAAUGCUAAUGCUAAUGCUACUACAAGGGAACAAAUUGGAGACAUUGAAAGUGGUAUCACAACACAGAAUACUAGAAACCUGUUGACAAUGGUGGAUUUCUCCAAGUUGACGGCUUUGCACAAUGCAGUGACACAAGCAAACCUUGAGUCAGCAAAAUUGUUGAUUCAAGCAGACCCAAGUCACGAGCUGUUGAGGAUGGUUGAUAAAAAUGGGAAUACAGCUCUGCACACUGCUGUGGAAAAGCACAAUCUUGGUUUAGUCAAUUUAUUGGCUGAAGCCGACCCUGGUUUUGAGUACUGUGCUAAUGAAUCUGGUAACACCCCACUUUUUAUAGCUUUCCAAGAAGCCCUCACAGGCGAUGAGACAAGAGGUAAAGUUACAUACUGUAUUUCUCUUCUCAUUAAUUAACUUGAUGAAUUGGAUUCAGAAGUACAAAACCAGUCCCUGAACUGAAAGUUUUGUCUUCAUUUCCCUUUUGAUUUUUAGUUUCAAUACUUCAUGAAUUUGUUAUUUUUUCAGUGGAAAUUAGGAAGCUGCUAACAGAGAAGCAAUCAAGUCAAUGUAAAGUACGCAUAGGGCGAAAUCAGUGGACCUUACUUCACCAUGCUACAUGUAAAGGAAAUUUAAGUGCCAUUGAAGAUAUUCUUCAGUUCUGCCCAGAAUGUUUGUAUCUUGUCGACAAUGAUCUUCAAAAUUGUUUACAUCUUGACGUUAAGUUUGAACAUGUUAAUGUGGUAAAUCACUUAUUGGGAAUGCCUACGAUUGCUGAUGAAGUCUUGAAUGGGCAAGACAAGCACGGGAACACUCCUUUGCAUAUUGCCGCAGAAAAUCAAAGGAUUGCAUUACUUUUCCUUUAUAAUACUAGGGUGGACAAGACGAUUAUAAAUAUGCAAGGUCUAAGGGCUGUAGAUAUGGUAAGCCUUUUUACAUUUUUUACACAGAUACAUAAGCUAAGUAGGCGGAUACAAGAUUUAGCAACUCUAAUUAAUUUUGUCCCUUCUCUUUGAAGAUAAACUUUGAGUAUGACAAGAGGAGAGCUGGAGUUUAUGGCGUUACAGAUAGAGUGGGCGAAAAAGAAAUUAAGGAUCAAACUGAUUUUGAUUUGUUGGUGGGUGCACUCAUUGCGACAGUCACCUUCACUGCAGGAAUUACAGUACCUGGAGGUUACACUAGUGAUGGACCAAACAAAGGGACUGCGAUAUUAGCUAAGGAAGUAUCUUUUAAAAUUUUUUCGAUAUCAAAUACCAUUGCGUUAUUGCUCUCUCUUUAUGCUGUCUUUAGCCAUUUUUGCGUGAAACGUUUAAGCAAGAAAGAGGAUAUCAUUUACCAACUUAAUGUGGC
Molecule: long non-coding RNA, 5661 nt
Filed under: Aquilegia coerulea
Lineage: Eukaryota; Viridiplantae; Streptophyta; Magnoliopsida; Ranunculales; Ranunculaceae
Description: long non-coding RNA (ACOE_LNC001780)
Source: RNAcentral